GACGAACGCUGGCGGCGUGGAUUAGGCAUGCAAGUCGAACGGUAUCAUCCUUUCGGGGGUGAGAGAGUGGCGAACUGGUGAGUAACACGUAGGUUAUCUACCCUCAAGACGGGGACAACCCAGGGAAACUUGGGCUAAUACCGGAUGUGAGCAACUUUUAGUUGUUUGAAAGGUGGCGUAAGCUGUCGCUUGGGGAUGAGCCUGCGUCCUAUUAGUUAGUUGGUGAGGUAACGGCUCACCUAGGCAAUGAUAGGUAGGCGGCCUUAACGGGUGGUCGCCCACACUGGGAUUGAGAUACGGCCCAGACUCCUACGGGAGGCAGCAGUCGAGAAUAGUCUACAAUGGUCGGAAGACUGAUAGUGCGACGCCGCGUGAACGAUGAAUCCCUUCGGGGUGUAAAGUUCUUUUAUAUGUGAGCAGUGCUUCUUAUAUUAAACAGUAUGGGGAGAGAGAUAUUAGCAUAUGAAUAAGCAACGGCUAACUCCGUGCCAGCAGCCGCGGUAAAA
This 506-nucleotide ribosomal RNA is filed under the name uncultured bacterium. RNAcentral describes it as "bacterial SSU rRNA". It matches the Rfam family "Bacterial small subunit ribosomal RNA", at positions 28 to 525 of the family's 1533-position model. The record is from RNAcentral.